Molecule: ribosomal RNA, 253 nt
Filed under: uncultured bacterium
Lineage: Bacteria
Description: partial 16S ribosomal RNA
Rfam family: Bacterial small subunit ribosomal RNA
Source: RNAcentral
UACGUAGGGGGCAAGCGUUGUCCGGAUUUACUGGGCGUAAAGCGCCUGUAGGCGGCCUGCCAAGUCCGGCCUGAAAGCCCCCCGCUCAACGGGGGAGGGUGGCUGGAAACUGGCAGGCUUGAGGGCGAGAGAGGAGGGUGGAAUUCCUGGUGUAGCGGUGAAAUGCGCAGAUAUCGGGAGGAACACCAAUGGCGAAGGCAGCUCGCUGGGACGUUACUGACGCUGAGACGCGAAAGCGUGGGGAGCAAACAGG